Molecule: microRNA precursor, 64 nt
Organism: Homo sapiens (human)
Lineage: Eukaryota; Metazoa; Chordata; Mammalia; Primates; Hominidae
Source: Ensembl
UAUGUGACCUCGGAUGAAUCACUGAAAUAUGUCUGAGCUUCUGUUUCAUCAGAUGUCACAUUUU